UCCCUGAUAGUCUAGUGGUAGGACUCAAGCACUUUUACUGCCGGUGCCUGGGUUCAAUCCCUGGUAGGGGAA
RNAcentral lists this transfer RNA (72 nucleotides) under Bos taurus (domestic cattle). It matches the Rfam family "tRNA". Rfam says of the family: Transfer RNA (tRNA) molecules are approximately 80 nucleotides in length. Their secondary structure includes four short double-helical elements and three loops (D, anti-codon, and T loops). Further hydrogen bonds mediate the characteristic L-shaped molecular structure. tRNAs have two regions of fundamental functional importance: the anti-codon, which is responsible for specific mRNA codon recognition, and the 3' end, to which the tRNAs corresponding amino acid is attached (by aminoacyl-tRNA synthetases). tRNAs cope with the degeneracy of the genetic code in two manners: having more than one tRNA (with a specific anti-codon) for a particular amino acid; and 'wobble' base-pairing, i.e. permitting non-standard base-pairing at the 3rd anti-codon position. The record is from Rfam by way of RNAcentral. RNAcentral also lists the same sequence under 3 other names. Lineage: Eukaryota; Metazoa; Chordata; Mammalia; Artiodactyla; Bovidae.